ACCAGCAAUGAAAAUGAAAGCAAAUCCUUCAGGUAUUGAUGGUGGUUCAAAAGCACUUAAAAUGGCUGAUUAUAAAGUUGACUCUGAUAAUCAUCUAUUGUUUAUAAAUAAUGAUGAAGGAAGAAAAUUUGGUUCACCAGUUAGAAUAUUUACAAAUUUACCAUUAAAUUUAAUCAAAUUAUCAGAACAAGAUGGUUAUAAAUAUUGUAAACGUUGUGAUAAAUGGUCAUCACAAGAAAAUAAACAUUGUAAAAAAUGUAAAUCAUGCACAUCAAAAGAUGGAAGAAGAUUACCCAUUAACGUGGUCGUCUUGAAUAUAUUUCACAAACAAUUAGUCCAAUGAUGAAUUUAUAAUAAAUAAUACUGAAAUUGCUAAUGUUGGAGAAAUUAGAUAUAGCUAUGGAAACGACAGAUGAUCCUACGACACCAACACAAGUAUUAAAUUCUCAAAUGGAAUUUAAAAUUGAUAAUGUUAUGUCACUUGGUUCACAAUCAAUUAAUAAUGAAACUGUUGUUCAAAAUAAUAAUAAUAAUUGAUCAUUAUAUGAAGCUCAAAUUCAACAAUUAACUCAACAAAAUUUAAGAGUGUAUGUGUAAUGGAGAUGUCAGUACAAUAUUACCAUUGACAUUUGAACAAAAAUUGAAUGACAAAAAUUGUUGCUGAUGUUGUUAAAACAGUUGAUGAUCCAGAUCCAAAUGUCAUUAAGAUUUAACGAUUAACUGUUAGAUGCAGCAAGUGAUCUUGAAAAGAAAGAUAUUUCAUUAAAUAUUGUACGAGUUAGUAGACUUGAAAAAAUGGAUCCAAGAGUUCACAGAGUAUCUUUAUCAAAUCUUGCGCUUCAUCAUAAAAUAUAUCAUUUAUCUGUGACGUCAAAUGUAACCCUUGGUAAUUUGGAAGAAGAUAUUCUCAAUAAUGCAGAUGUAAUUGCAUCAACAUUAACUUCAUCUUUCACAACACAAAUGGAAAUAUUCAUGGUAAUAAAUUACGAGUACCAGUUUGUAUAAUUGAUGAAGCUGGACAAUUUGUCGAAAUUGAAAGUUUAAUUCCACUGAUACUUGGGGUGGAAAAAUUGAUUCUCGUUGGUGAUCCACAACAACUACCACCAACAGUUAUUUCACGUGAAGAGCGAAAUCUUAUGGUUUGGAUUUAUCGUUAUUUUCACGUGCACAAAAGUACUUUAAAAAAUUCUCUUCAGUAAAUCCAAUACAAAUGUUGGACGUCCAAUACAGAAUGAUUGAUAAAAUUUCUUCGUGGCCAAACAAUUAAAAAUGCUGCAAACGUUUUAACCCUUCCAAUUGUUUCAUAUAAAUUACUGCAUCAUGAGUCACCACAAAGUGUUACCUCAUUUUCAAAUAUAAAUGAAGCAAAGAUUAUCAUCAAAUUACUUGAUCUUUUAAUCAAUAAUCUUUCAAAAAAAUAUGAGCAAGGAAAUUCACCAAGUAUCAGUGUAAUUACACCGUAUCAUGAUCAAAGAAAAAUGAUUUUAAAUCAAAUUAAACCAACCAUUUACUCAAAGCUGGUGUCAUCAUUAGAACAUGGGCAUAAAAAACUGGAAAAAUAUGAUGAUGAUAAUAAAGAUAAAUCCUUAAAUGCUGAUCAAUCAAGUAAUCAUUUAUAUCGUGAAAAAAAAGAAAAUUUAAAAUCAAAAAGAUCAGUGAAAUUAAAUAGUUAUGCAUUACUUGAAGAAAUAAUUGAAAAGAAUCUCGCUAGAAGUGAAAAAUAUAUUGCUAAUGGAUAGUAUAUUUAUAGUUGAAAUUUUUGAUGAUGAGGGUAAUGACGAUGAUGAAGAUGAUGAAGAUAAUUAUGACAACAAUUAUCCAGCAAUUACUGAUAAAUUCCGCAAGCGAAGCAAUGCAUUAAAAAAAAAACCAUUUUUAUUAAAAAAUAUUGAAGUAAGAAUGUCAAAGGUCAAUGGUACUAUUAAUAUUUAGGACAAAGAGAUUAAAAUAGCCAAUACUACUACUACUACUGCUGUUGAUGAAAACUUCAUAAAUUAUGGUUAUGAUAUUGAUGAUUACGAUUGCAGUAUAUUAUCAUCAUCAUCAUGAUCAACAACAAUAUGAUUAUUGCUUUAUUAAAUUUAAUAAUGAUAGAUUAUGAAAACAGACACCAUCAAAAAAAAGACAUUCAUUUUCAUGUUUAACUAGUAAAAAAACAAUGAUGCCACCAUUAUCAAGAACAAGUCCAACACCUGCAAAGAGACGAGAAUGUCUAGAUAUUCAUUUGAUCAACAACAACAACCAAUAAAAUCGUUUUGAUAGUAUGCCAAAUUUAGAUUGUAAUACAAGUUGAUAUAUUAACAAAAACAACAAUUCAGCUAUCAAUAGUAAUAAUAAUAAUAAUACAACAAAUGAUAAAUCACAACAAGAUUUUUAUCGUAGUAAAACACUUAAUGUUGGUGAUCAUAUACUUGCUGUUAAUCAUGUUCAAUGAUAAAUGUAUGUAAAGUACUGAGACAUAACUUUUUCAUUUCUGUUCAAUUAAUAAAAUAAUUUUUUACUUGUUUUUUUUUUUUCCCCAAUCAAUGAAUAAAUUAUUUUUCAGGUAAAUCUGGAAGUAGAAAAAUAUAAAGCGUGAGUUUACACUGGUGAAGAGAUCUUCCAAAGCCAUCAACAAUUUAUGGUAUUAUCAGUGAUUUAUGUUUAUUUUUUUUUUAUAUUCAAUAAAUUUAUUUUAUAUUACAAUUGAUAUGGCAAUUAAAGUAUCUUCAGUAUUCAUAAAGUUUUUUUUUUUUUUAAUUUAUAAUCACUCAAAGUAAUGUUCAAGUAAUUGUGAUUAUUAAAAAAUAUGGUAAUUGAUUCAAAUGAAUUUAAUUAUCAAACAAAAAUUGCAUAUAAAAAAAAAAAUUAAUCAAGAUAAUUAAUCGCACCAACUUCUUCAUUUCUCAAAACUUUAAUUAUUAAAUACCACAAUAACUUUGAAGAAUAACUUUUUUUUAAUAUUUAUUUCUUUAAAAAUGUAUAUUAUAUAUUUUUUUUUUUUUUGCAUCAUAAAUUAACUAUUGAAAUAAUUAAUAAAAAAUUCAACUG
Aphidius gifuensis is the source of this 3030-nucleotide long non-coding RNA. RefSeq lists it as uncharacterized. The record is from RefSeq and is a predicted model, not a curated record. The transcript is spliced from 5 exons. Lineage: Eukaryota; Metazoa; Arthropoda; Insecta; Hymenoptera; Braconidae.